This is a long non-coding RNA of Oreochromis aureus, 3038 nucleotides long. The record is from Ensembl. NCBI's taxonomy places the organism in Eukaryota, Metazoa, Chordata, Actinopteri, Cichliformes, Cichlidae.
GGCAAGAGCUGCAGGUCCGUUCAGACGCUGUAGUGUCGCGCUCGCGCUUUUUAGUGUCGCAACGCAAAGCGCGUCUCAGCGUCGUUUGGUGCGGUCGGAGCCAGGUUUAAAUCCUCCCGGCUAUCUUGUCACUCCGACUACAGGCUUGGCGCGGAAAGUUUGAUUUCCUUUAGUUCUGCGCAGGCCUGAACUUUCUGAGCCACAGAUAGCGAUUUGGUUGAGAAAGGAUCUGCAGACUGAGCGCAGGCACGCGGCGCGCUCUUACAUCCUGCUGCAAAUCAAACGAGUGCGAGUCGUCCUAGUUGAACCCAGCUAUGAUGUAAGUCAGAUCUUCCAGUGGCUGGUGGCCAGUGCCGACUGGGACAGCUUCCAGCCUCAGAGGACUGCGAUUAACCCAGGAGCGGUCAAACUCGGCAGGACGCCCUCCACAACCAGCCACAGCUAUUUAUCCACUUUCCAAUGAAACCAAUUACUUUUACAGCAAGCCCCAGCGCCAACAUUAUAUGUGUUGUUCUUGCAGACCAAAAGAGUAUGGCUUUGAAAAGAGAGCCAGGCAUGAAGUAGGAAACCCUCCUGAGCUGCUCCAGCAGGCUGUAAAAUAUACCUAAAGUCAGUAUCCAUGGAGACUAGCUGGUGUGUGAGAGCAGCCUGAAGGAUACACGUGGAUAUUAUUACUAUUGCUAUUUACUGUUCUUUGUCUUUUACUUGUUAUUGUAGAGUGUUAGUUUUUACACAGUUUCCUCUGGGAUUAAUACAUGAUUCCGAUUCUGAGUAAUAGUGUUGGAGUUGCUACAAAUUUCCUUCAUGUAGCUACCAGAAGAAAUGUUUUUAAUGUAAAUCUGCUUACACCUUGCUUAUAUUUAUUUAUAUGUUUUACAAUGUGCUUAUUGCAGGACAUCACAGCUUUUAACAAAUUCUGAUAUUUUAGCUUCUUUUUUGAAAAUUAAAUUUCAACAGUUGUAAAAGUCACAGCAUGUUAACUUCAUAGAACUUUUUCAGUCAUUUUCAUCUUCUUUUCACUAUGAAAAUGACCUUGCAGAAACAGAGGGAAAUGCAAGCGCAAGGGCUUUUCUACAAAAAUUGUAUAAGAAAAAUCUAGAAAACAUCCAGUUAUUGUUUGACACAUUAAGGACGCAUUACUUCUUCCAUUAACAUUGAGCUGUGUAAGUGUAAAUGUUCAUUUUACUACUGCUACUCAAGCAAGUUUCAGUCUGAUUUUCACAGAUGCAAGAUCUCGAGCCAAUUAACUUUAAUUUAUAAUUAUUAUAAUUUAAUAUUAAUAAAAAUAUGAUUUUAUCAUUUUAUAAUUUUUAUUUGUUAUGUUAAAAUUUCUUCUCUGUUUUCAGAGUCAAGUGAUUAUAUGACUCACAAAUGCACAGAAAAUACUGCAACCAACACUGCAAAGUGCUGACAAACACAGUAAACCAAAUAGCUUAUAUAAUACAAACCAACCACAAUGGUUGCCCAGGGUAACAUGUUCACAUUGCUUUUGGCAACUGACUUGCUCUGAAAAAUACCCAAAGAUGUUGAGUGCACUGCAGUCUUACAAAUGUUAACUUCUGAGAAUCUGUGACUAAAGAUCAUUUCUGCUUUGUUUGGUGCUGAUUAGCAUUUUCCUUUACUGCUGAACGAAAAUCUAAUGAAGCUCCAUUUAAGGCUUUUGGAGGGCUUUUCUUGACAUUAGAAUCCACAGGCUAACAGUAAAAUGAGGGGGCAUAUUUUUUGAAUUAUGUUGACAAGGUUGUUUUUUUUCUGCAUCUGUCCAAUAAAUGUCAUGUUAAAGUGUUGUUAUUAGGUUACUAGUCGUAAGUAAGGAAAGGACGAGGACAGCAGACUCAGUUAAUAAAGCAGUCAUAUCACUGAUCGCUGGCUGGGCUAAUUGACAGACACAUGAAGAGAAAACUACUAAUUGAUUAUAGGCUUGUCCUAUUCUAGCGCAGGAGGUGACUGAUGGAAAAUGUGAAUUGGCCUGAGAGAUGCUUUAUGCCUAUGUCUACAUUUGGAUUUCUGUUUCGAUGAAAAACUUUCUGCACAGUGCUUUCUGCUUGAAAUUUCUACGUUCUUUAAGGUGCAAUAAAAAAAGUGGUGGUUUUUAUAGUUAUUUGUGUGUCUUGACAGUUGUGCUGUCACUUAGCAGAGGGUCUCCAGGCUUUCUAAUACAGUCCCACUGAGCUUAUAUCCAAAAGAAGUAUUUACUUUUAACCAAGUGAAGCCUGAACCAUGAAAUGUUUUUUUGAAACUGGGAUGUUUACUGAGCCUUCUGACCAAUAAAAAAUAAAUAAAUAAAUGAAAUAUCAGUUUACAUAUAUGAGCAUUGAUUUGCAUAAAUUCUGCUACAUCUGACUGUAUACAUCAGGCUUUUCAGGAAAAAUUAUACUAAGUAGGGGUCCCACAAACCCAUGUAUAAAACACGAUACUCUUGGCUUUACAGGAUCAGCUUUUCUAUUCUAAUCUGGUUUGAAUGUAGAGAACAGUGUAACUGCACAGCAUGGCCAUCACUGCCUGUCUACCUCUGAGCUGAACCAGUGAGGACAAUCCCUAAGAAAAUGUUAAGGAUUAUGACAUUUAAAUUGUGUUUUUGUUUUCUUAUAGUUUAAAUUAUUGUUAACACGCUCAUCUUUGCUAGAUAGUUCAGGCAGUAUCCAAUGUCACAGACAUUAAACUGAUGGCCAAGAAACAUUACAGACAUUAGCACAAUUUUGCCUUUAGUAACAUUUUGCUCACUGUGACGCAAUGUUUUGGAAGGAUGUUCAAACAAUACUCAUUCAAUCACACAAUUUUUUACCAGAAACGACCAUGAUUUACAUUUCAGGAACGUCUCGCACAUUUAACAAACUUUUCUGUAAACACUUUUUAAUUCUUUUUUUCUAUUAAAUUAUUGCAAUUCAUAAAGAUUUCAGGUACAUAUUUGCUUUGUUUACACUGGACUGUUAUCUCUCUUGAAGAAUUUGGCAUGCUAUGACCCACAGAGCACUACACCCGAGCAUAUAUGCAAUGGUCUUAGUUACCAUGAAACAAUGUACCAUGUAGAGUUGUAU